RNAcentral lists this ribosomal RNA (301 nucleotides) under uncultured bacterium. Its description in RNAcentral is "partial 16S ribosomal RNA". It matches the Rfam family "Bacterial small subunit ribosomal RNA", at positions 509 to 809 of the family's 1533-position model. The record is from RNAcentral.
CAGUCGCCGCGGUAAUACGUAGGUGGCAAGCGUUGUCCGGAAUUAUUGGGCGUAAAGCGCGCGCAGGUGGUUUAAUAAGUCUGAUGUGAAAGCCCACGGCUCAACCGUGGAGGGUCAUUGGAAACUGUUAAACUUGAGUGCAGGAGAGAAAAGUGGAAUUCCUAGUGUAGCGGUGAAAUGCGUAGAGAUUAGGAGGAACACCAGUGGCGAAGGCGGCUUUUUGGCCUGUAACUGACACUGAGGCGCGAAAGCGUGGGGAGCAAACAGGAUUAGAUACCCCCGUAGUCCCUGUCUCUUAUAA